Molecule: ribosomal RNA, 378 nt
Filed under: Apocephalus curtus
Lineage: Eukaryota; Metazoa; Arthropoda; Insecta; Diptera; Phoridae
Description: partial 28S ribosomal RNA
Rfam family: Eukaryotic large subunit ribosomal RNA
Source: RNAcentral
GGGUAAGAACCUCACCUAUCUUGAUAUGUAGGUGGGGUUGUGAUAUAUUGUGCCCAGUGGGCCACUUUUGGUAAGCAGAACUGGCGCUGUGGGAUGAACCAAACGCAAUGUUACGGUGCCAAAAUUUACAACUCAUGCAGAUACCAUGAAAGGCGUUGCUUGCUUAAAACAGCAGGACGGUGGACAUGGAAGUCGUAAUCCGCUAAGGAGUGUGUAACAACUCACCUGCCGAAGCAACUAGCCCUUAAAAUGGAUGGCGCUUAAGUUGUAUACCUAUACAUUGCCGCUAAUGUAGAUGGUUUAUAUGUAAUUUUGGUUACAUAUAAAUUUUGAAACAUUAGUGAGUAGGAGGGUACAAUGGUGUGCCUAGAAGUGUUU